Long non-coding RNA from Amphiprion ocellaris (clown anemonefish), 1336 nucleotides. The record is from Ensembl. NCBI's taxonomy places the organism in Eukaryota, Metazoa, Chordata, Actinopteri, Pomacentridae.
CACACAUAACACUUUUACUUUCCUUAGUAUUUCCUUUUCACACCAGUUUCUACCUCUACUUCGGUUCAAUCAUGUAACAGCUUUAGUUAUUUUACAAAUUAAGAUUUUUGUACAUAAACCAUACAAUGAACUUAUACGAUGUAUUGUUGUAAAUCAAACCACCCAACAGUUUAUACAGUACAGCAGAAACUUAAAAAAAACUAAACCGUUACGACAGGCAUGCUGAUUUUUAACAAACCAGUGAAUCAAAUAAUGGAGGAAAUUAUCAGUGGAUUAAAGAUAAUCUUUAGUUGUAGUUAAUAGAUCAAAAUGAGAUUCCACAAUAAAAAAGUAAAAUCCUGCUUUUACAUGAAGUAAUAAUAUAUAAAGUAUAAUAAGGCUCACUUUCUCUGCAUUGAGUAUUUGUACUCAAAUACAAUGCUGGAGUGCUUGAAUAAAAAUCAUAAUGCAUUAUACAGCAGAGUGUCAACUAAGGCAGGAAAGAGUGAUAGCGAAUAAACACGAAUGGAAGUGAUGAUGCAUUUGAACAUCAGCUUUGAAAGAGAUUAACAAGGAAGUAAAAGCAUUCAACAUGUUAAACCUCAAAGAUACACAAAACAGGAAGUGAACUUAAACAGACCUUGUGUUUAACUGAAACAAGACAUUUGACAAGAAUUAAACUAAAUUUCUUGUCUCCAUAUAUAAAGCAGACAAUAAGCAUUUGUAUUUUUGAUCUCCUCAUUAAUAGUAAAGGUAAAAAAGCCCAACACCCAGUCUUCUUUUAGCUCCACUUUGGUCCCCACCAGCUCCUCAAGGAAAUAUCCAAUUCGUUAGCUGCUAAAUGUUCCACCGUGUUUAGCUACUAGUUGUCUAUUUGCCAUUUUAUUGCUGGGAAGGUCACACAAAAGGGCUUGGUUUGCUCGAAAUUGGGCAGAUGAGCUUUAAAACUGAACCAAAACAGUAAAAUUGUGUAUUGAAAACCAAAACAAUGAGCUGAAAGACACCAAAAUGCUCCGUAGAGUUGGGGGGAGCUUCAAACUGUAAUAAUUCUCUGUAGAUAUAUCGUUACUCUACUCAAACAAAAAGGGACUGAUAGAUUAUUUGGUAAAGUCAAACUCACAGCUUACACCCUCACCACAUAUUUAGACAGUUUAAAUUAUUCAAUAAACCCAGAGAUUUGUGUAAUGUUCCACUUUCCAGUUAGCUACUCUGCUAAGAAUCCUGAAACAACGUAUUAAACCGAAUGUUUUUUAUUUGUGUAUUUUUGUACUAAUCUGGGAAAAGGUGUCAGAUCGAAAGUGAAAAAUUAUUUGUCUCAUAUAUGCAUUUAUUUGUAAAUAAAUAAUAUCUUUUAUAU